Molecule: long non-coding RNA, 328 nt
Organism: Temnothorax curvispinosus
Lineage: Eukaryota; Metazoa; Arthropoda; Insecta; Hymenoptera; Formicidae
Exons: 4
Source: RefSeq, a predicted model, not a curated record
GAUCACGCAAUCACGUGUACGACACCGCACAGAAACAAUCGUUUUAAUUUCAGUAUUGUUUUCCAUCAGUGGAUGUUCAUGCAGUCCAGAGCAGCACCAAGUAGUUUGAUAGAAGAGCAAGAGAUUUAUUUAUUAGAUAUUGUUACGUUGCUUUCCAUCAGUGGAAGUUCACGCAGAGCAGCACCAAGCAGUUUGAUUUCUAUCAAACUCUUCUGAGCGACAGCUUCAUUUAUUAGAUACAUAAUGUUACGUCAUUCUUUAUCAGUGGAAAUUCAUACAGUGCAGAGUAGCAUGGAGCAGUUUUGAAGAAGAAAGAGAUAGAAAGAUA